RNAcentral lists this ribosomal RNA (503 nucleotides) under uncultured bacterium. RNAcentral's name for it is "partial 16S ribosomal RNA". It matches the Rfam family "Bacterial small subunit ribosomal RNA", at positions 30 to 523 of the family's 1533-position model. The record is from RNAcentral.
AUUGAACGCUGGCGGCAUGCCUUACACAUGCAAGUCGAACGGCAGCAUGGAGAGCUUGCUCUCUGAUGGCGAGUGGCGAACGGGUGAGUAAUGCAUCGGAACGUACCGUGUAAUGGGGGAUAACGUAGCGAAAGUUACGCUAAUACCGCAUACGUCCUGAGGGUGAAAGCAGGGGAUCGCAAGACCUUGCGUUAUACGAGCGGCCGAUGUCAGAUUAGCUAGUUGGUGAGGUAAAGGCUCACCAAGGCGACGAUCUGUAGCGGGUCUGAGAGGAUGAUCCGCCACACGGGGACUGGGAACCGGCCCAGACUCCUACGGGAGGCAGCAGUGGGAAUUUUGGACAAUGGGGGCAACCCUGAUCCAGCCAUGCCGCGUGAGUGAAGAAGGCCUUCGGGUUGUAAAGCUCUUUUGGCCGGGAAGAAAUCGCACAGGCUAAUACUCUGUGUGGAUGACGGUACCGGCAUAAGAAGCACCGGCUAACUACGUGCCAGCAGCCGCGGUAA